UUCAAGGCGGCAAUGUUAACGUUUAAUCAUUCGUACAUAGGUGGUAUGUUUACCAAUAGCUAAACGUAUAAAUAAAUUGUCUAGAGUCUUCGUAAUUUUUUUCUAUUUUGGAUUAAUCUGAUGCAAGCCAUUGCUGGACACACAGAACACCCGUGGACGAGUUUGCUUUACAUCGCUUCAUUUUAGUUUAAAUAGGUACAGGAGACGCUGGCAACGCCUCUGAGUCUGAGGAGUGUGCCCCCCCCCCCCCCCCUCGUGAUGAGGAGGAGUGGUACGGCCCCAUAACCCAGGACCUGUCUCCAUCUGCAGAAGACUCCAAUGGCAGUGUGGAAGGAUCCAACACCGGGGACGGGACGGGGGGUGUGGGGGGAUCUGUGCGCUCACGAUGGAAUGGAGACCCGCCCCCUGCGUGGGGAUGUGGGAAGCUCCACCCAGGAAGGAGGCGUCUCCACGUCUGCCUCCUGCGCGUGACGGAUAUUAUCCAAGCUGACGGCUCGCUGCCGAUGGAUCCACUGCGGGAGCGGGGGUGGGAGGGGGGGGGGGGUUAGGGUACUGAUGGGUGCACGGGCUGGCGGGUCAACGGCGGGCCCAUGCGGGUGAAACGCCGUACGCCCGCUCUGACCUCGGUAAGGCCCUGCCGACUGCUUUGUUGCCCAUGGCGACGCAGCGGCGCAUCCGCGCGGGAAAGGCUCACACCCGGAGCAAAGCGCUCAGCUGCACGGUGUUCAGCUGCGCAGUGUUGUGCACGCUGUGUUCAGCUGCACGGUGUUCAGCUGCGCAGUGUUGUGCACGCUGUGUUCAGCUGCGCAGUGUUCUGCACACUGUGUUCAGCUGCAGGGUGUUCAGCACGCUGUGUUCUGCUGCGUGGUGUGCACACGGUGUUCAGCUGCGCAGUGUUCAGCUGUGCGGUGCUCAGCAUGCAGGGUUCAGCUGCGCAGUAUUCAGCACGUGGUGUUCAGCAUGCGGUGUUCAGCUGCGCAGUGUUGUGCACGCUGUGUUCAGCUGCGCGGUGUUCAGCUUCCCAGCCCUGUUCCUGGAGAUCGUGGACCUCUUGUGUGAUUGCUUCAGGUGAGAUUUUAAAGGUGCUGUACAAAGUUUAAAGUUUAUGAACUCAUGAAUGUGUAGAUGUCACAUCAGAAAAAAACUGUAGGACAAUUAGUGAGAGUGUAGAUUUAUUUGUUAUGAAUGAUAAAAUAAAAAAGGUUUUAAUUGUUUUUCAAUAUCGGCAUAUUAUGCCAGUGCUCCUCCCUUGUUGCUUUUGGCCAUUAUUUUGGCCGUUCAUGUUCUUCAUAUCCGUGCAUUGAGUGUCUUUAUUUCUCAGGAGAGACGCAGGGCGUUUCUGGGACACCCCUGUCUUCUGUGCGUGGAGAACGGGGCUGGGACAGGCUGUGGGGAGAGCCCUAACCCCCCCGCCAUGUGGUGGACGGGACAUCCAUGGGGUUUAGAGGGGGGUUUUGGACCAGUAGGAAAGUGUGUAGUGAGAAAUGCUUUGUGAAUUGGGCUGUACAGAUGAACCAGACUGGGUUUGAUGUUUACAGUGAAACCCAGGCCGUGGCAGGGGGAAUAAACACGUUUAAAACAUGA
Anguilla anguilla (European eel) is the source of this 1584-nucleotide long non-coding RNA. RefSeq lists it as uncharacterized. NCBI's taxonomy places the organism in Eukaryota, Metazoa, Chordata, Actinopteri, Anguilliformes, Anguillidae. The record is from RefSeq and is a predicted model, not a curated record. The transcript has 2 exons.